GAUGAACGCUGGCGGCGUGCUUAACACAUGCAAGUCGAACGGUGAACGAGGGAGCUUGCUCCCUCCGGAUCAGUGGCGAACGGGUGAGUAACACGUGAGCAAUCUGCCCUGGACUCUGGGAUAAGCGUUGGAAACGACGUCUAAUACCGGAUACGAGGUGUGGGGGCAUCCCCAACGCCUGGAAAGAACUUCGGUCCAGGAUGAGCUCGCGGCCUAUCAGCUAGUUGGUGAGGUAACGGCUCACCAAGGCGACGACGGGUAGCCGGCCUGAGAGGGUGACCGGCCACACUGGGACUGAGACACGGCCCAGACUCCUACGGGAGGCAGCAGUGGGGAAUAUUGCACAAUGGGCGCAAGCCUGAUGCAGCAACGCCGCGUGAGGGACGACGGCCUUCGGGUUGUAAACCUCUUUUAGCAGGGAAGAAGCGAAAGUGACGGUACCUGCAGAAAAAGCACCGGCUAACUACGUGCCAGCAGCCGCCGCCG
This 486-nucleotide ribosomal RNA is filed under the name uncultured bacterium. RNAcentral describes it as "partial 16S ribosomal RNA". It matches the Rfam family "Bacterial small subunit ribosomal RNA", at positions 28 to 523 of the family's 1533-position model. The record is from RNAcentral.